RNAcentral lists this long non-coding RNA (2976 nucleotides) under Homo sapiens (human). RNAcentral describes it as "HSALNT0213665". Lineage: Eukaryota; Metazoa; Chordata; Mammalia; Primates; Hominidae. The record is from RNAcentral.
AAAAAGUGUUAUUAUUUAUGGUAGGCAGAAUACUAAAAUUAGCCCCAUGAUCUCCACUGCUGGUGUUAGUCCUAUGAUUAUAUUAUGUUGCAUGGCAAACAGGAAUUUGGCAGUUGCAAUUAAGGUUAUCAAUCUGUUGACUGUAUUGUAGAGACCUUUUCCCAGUGGGCCUAACCUAACCACAUAAGCCCCAUAAAGCUGAGAAUUUUCUUCAAUUGGUAGCUGAAAAGAAAAUCAAAGAGAUUCAAAGUGUGAGAGGGAUUAUUUCAGGGAGACAUUGCUAGAAUGGAUUGGGCCACUCAGGCAAGAACUUGAGAAUGGCCUCUAAGAACUGAGAAAUGUACCCAGCCAACAGCCAGCAAGAAAACAGGGACCUCAGUCCUACAACUGCAAGGCACUCAGUUCUACCAAAAACCUGAAUGAGUUUGGAAGUGGAUUCUUCUACAGAGCCUCCAGGACAAAAUAAAUGGUGGCCAGAUGCAGUGGCUUAGGCCUGUAAUCCUAGCACUUUGGGAGGCCAAGGUGGAAGAACUGCUUGAGUCCAGGAGUUCAAGACCAGCCUGGACAACACGGUGAAACCGUGUCUCUACAAAAAACACAAAAACAUUAGCCAGGCAUAGUGGCAUGUGCCUGAAGUCUCAGCUACCCGGGAGGCUGAGGAGGAAGGAUCACCUGAGACCUGGAGGUUAAGACUUACAUUGAGCCACGAUCACACCAGCCCUCCAGCCUGGGUGCAAACCAGCUCUCCUCUACUAGAGUUUGGAAGACUUUCAACCAAUCAGUCGUUCAGAAAAUAAUACUGGAUACCUACUAAGUUCAAGGCAUUGUUUGUGCUAUAUGAACACAGCAAUGAACAACAAUAAUAACAAUAAAUAAACAAAAACUCAUCUAUACUCAUGGAGUUUACAGUCAAGGGGCCAAGAGAGAAAAUUAAGAAAUAAAAUGAAUGAAGAGAAGCUGCGUGAAAGGAGAGCUGCAAAAGGACAACUUGACCCAGAGAGAGUCGCCCUCACCAGGGCCCUCCUCCCGGCUUCACUGGGUCUCUGGAUGGGCCAGUUGCACAAAUACAAGAAGAUCAGGCCAGCAUCCUGGAAGUGGGGAGGGGACUUGGUAUCACCCUCCUUGGAUAGGUGUUUGCCAAGUUCUAGUUAACCCAGUUACAGUAAAGCCAUUGUGGACUCUUUAGUGGAGCAAGCCUCAAAUCUACAUGGCAUUCACGAUUUUUCGAUGGCCCUGGCCACAGCCAGUAACUGCAAUUUAGUGGCUUACACAUUACCAUGAAAGGGGGCGGGCAAAGGCUCAAGAGCAAUGGAUUUUUACGGCAAUAGGAAAUAGAACACAUUUUGUGCAGUCGCCAACUCCUUUGCAUUUCUGAGGAUGAAAUGCCCCCUAGAUCAAAGUGACAAAGUGGUUAGGAUAUUCACGGGACAGAAGACAAAAGGAGUUCGUUCACUGCCAAAAAGAAAAAAAAAAAGCCUUCUGUUAAGUAUUUAGAAGUUUAAUAACAGUACUUACAUGAGAAGCAGAAUGCAAGAGGGCAACUUGAAAGUGUGCACAGUUAAACAGGAGCUAGCCAUUUUCCUUCACACAGGCAGGAAGCUUACCUUCAUUCACUCGUUCAUUCCCCAAUAUACAUUGAGCACCUACUAUAUGGGACACUGCAUUUGGUAUUAUAAGAAGUACAAAUGUGCAUAACAAAGCCUCUACUCUUAAGAAGAUGGUGGACAUUCAGGGAAGCUAAUGAAGUAUAUGCACAAAUCAAGGUGUCAGACCAACUAUAUAGCACUUGCAAAGGAGAUAGGCAAAAACUGGUUUUGCAAUCUUAGCCCAAGACAAGCCUCAAGAGGGUAAAAGAGGUUACAGAGGCAAGGAAAGAGACAAUUUCUUUGGAGGGAUUUGCUAGAAUUCUGUGCAUUUCACUCUUCACUUGCCCCUACUUUGCAAUGGAAAAGUUGAGGGCUACUCCCUCCUUACUUCAUGCCAAGUGAAAGAUGCUUUAAGAGAACCACUUGGGGAGCUUGGUCUGUUUCUCUUUAGAGUCUGUGGUGGAUAUGGGUCAAAUGCAAGGCCUACAAUUGAAAAAAUCUCCAGGCAAGAAGCUGGAUGAAGCUGCUCAUAGUGUCCAAUUUGAAAGCUGUAUAGACAAUAAACUGUGCUUCCACCGAUGAAAAAAAAAAAAAAACAAAAAUGAGGACACAUACAUGUUUCCUGAAUUCUACAUGUGGUCCAUAGCACAUGGGAAACACCUGUCCUAGAGUUGUUGAACAGAUAAUUUACCCAAGAGGGCUACCUACAGAGAAAAUGGAUUUAAAAGGAAGGGAAAAGGAUUAAAGGAAUGGAAAAUAUAGAAGCCUUCUGCCUGUAUUUUAAGGAGAUCAUCACACUUAAUUCAGUAGUUAUAGUAUAUUAAGGUAGAAAGUCUAAAUCUCAUUCAGAUAUGUAAAUAUACAGUGUUAUGAGGGAAAGGUUUUUUUAAGAUCACCUAAGACUUGUUAAACACUACUAAUGCAUGGCUAAAUAAAGUCUGGGCCUAAAGAGGUCCUGUCUAUAAAUCCAAGAAGUCAAAUGAAAAGUGCAAUUUUAAGUUGUCAUCCAGAUAUUUAGAUUUCAAGACUCCAGGAUUUUGGAAACUUGCAGAUUUUGGAAGUUUGAGAAACUAUAAUUUUUAUCUACAUGUCUAAAAUAUUAAGAGACGACAUGAAGAAAAAAAUGCAGACUCAGACUUAAUCUAAACAGAUUUGGUUCUUUACCAUGAAAAACCCUUAGAGUGACACCCUUAAAGAGUGAUUCCUACAGGGAAUUAUAGAAGUCUUUUGUCCUCGGCCUGGCGUGGUGGCUCACACCUGUAAUCCCAGCACUUUGGGAGGCAAAGGAGGGUGAAUCAUUUGAGGUCAGGAGUUUGAGACCAGCCUGGCUAACAUGGCAAAACCCUGUCUGUACUAAAAAUACAAAAAUCAGCUAGGUGUGGCAGUGGCG